RNAcentral lists this ribosomal RNA (1378 nucleotides) under uncultured bacterium. RNAcentral describes it as "16S ribosomal RNA". It matches the Rfam family "Bacterial small subunit ribosomal RNA". The record is from RNAcentral.
GAGUUUGAUCCUGGCUCAUGACGAACGCUGGCGGCGUGCUUAACACAUGCAAGUCGAACGGUAAGGCCCCUUCGGGGGUACACGAGUGGCGAACGGGUGAGUAACACGUGAGUAACCUGCCCCUAACUCUGGGAUAACUCCUGGAAACAGGUGCUAAUACCGGAUACCAACUUCCUAGGCAUCUAUGAAGUUUGAAAGCUCCGGCGGUUAGGGAUGGACUCGCGGCCUAUCAGCUUGUUGGUGAGGUAACGGCUCACCAAGGCUCCGACGGGUAGCCGGCCUGAGAGGGCGACCGGCCACAUUGGGACUGAGACACGGCCCAAACUCCUACGGGAGGCAGCAGUGGGGAAUAUUGCACAAUGGACGCAAGUCUGAUGCAGCAACGCCGCGUGCGGGAUGACGGCCUUCGGGUUGUAAACCGCUUUCAGCAGGGACGAAGCGAAAGUGACGGUACCUGCAGAAGAAGCACCGGCUAACUACGUGCCAGCAGCCGCGGUGAUACGUAGGGUGCGAGCGUUGUCCGGAUUUAUUGGGCGUAAAGAGCUUGUAGGCGGUUUGUCGCGUCGGGAGUGAAAACUCAGUGCUCAACACUGAGCCUGCUUCCGAUACGGGCAGACUUGAGGAAGGUAGGGGAGAUUGGAAUUCCUGGUGAAGCGGUGGAAUGCGUAGAUAUCAGGAGGAACACCAGUGGCGAAGGGCGGAUCUCUGGACCUUUCCUGAGGGUGAGAAGCGAAAGCCGGGGGAGCAAACAGGGUUAGAUACGCUGGUAGUCCACGCCGUAAAGCGGUGGGUACUAGGUGUGGGGUUCAUUCCACGAACUCCGUGCCGCAGCUAACGCAUUAAGUACCCCGCCUGGGGAGUACGGCCGCAAGGGUAAAACUCAAAGGAAUUGACGGGGCCCCGCACAAGCGGCGGAGCAUGCGGAUUAAUUCGAUGCAACGCGAAGAACCUUACCUGGGUUUGACAUAUGCCGGAAACAUCUAGAGAUAGGUGCCCCUUUAUGGUCGGUAUACAGGUGGUGCAUGGCUGUCGUCAGCUCGUGUCGUGAGAUGUUGGGUUAAGUCCCGCAACGAGCGCAACCCUCGUCCUAUGUUGCCAGCGGAUAAUGCCGGGGACUCAUAGGAGACCGCCGGGGUCAACUCGGAGGAAGGUGGGGAUGACGUCAAGUCAUCAUGCCCCUUAUGUCCAGGGCUUCACGCAUGCUACAAUGGCCGGUACAAUGAGCUGCGAACCUGCAAGGGUAAGCGAAUCUCAAAAAGCCGGUCUCAGUACGGAUUGGGGUCUGCAACUCGACCCCAUGAAGUCGGAGUCGCUAGUAAUCGCAGAUCAGCAACGCUGCGGGAAUACGUUCCGCGGGGCUUGUACACACCGCCCGUCA